Molecule: ribosomal RNA, 493 nt
Filed under: uncultured bacterium
Lineage: Bacteria
Description: partial 16S ribosomal RNA
Rfam family: Bacterial small subunit ribosomal RNA
Source: RNAcentral
ACGAACGCUGGCGGCGUGCUUAACACAUGCAAGUCGAACGGUGAAGCGCCUUCCUUUUUGGUGGGUGUGGAUGAGUGGCGAACGGGUGAGUAACACGUGAGUAACCUGCCCCCUUCUUCUGGAUAACCGCAUGAAAGUGUGGCUAAUACGGGAUAUUCUGGGUCUGUCGCAUGAUGGGUCUGGGAAAGAUAUUGUUUCGGUGGGGGAUGGGCUCGCGGCCUAUCAGCUUGUUGGUGGGGUGAUGGCCUACCAAGGCGGUGACGGGUAGCCGGCCUGAGAGGGUGGACGGUCACACUGGGACUGAGACACGGCCCAGACUCCUACGGGAGGCAGCAGUGGGGAAUAUUGCACAAUGGGCGCAAGCCUGAUGCAGCGACACCGCGUGAGGGAUGGAGGCCUUCGGGUUGUGAACCUCUUUCGCCAGUGAAGCAGGCCUGCCUCGUUUGUGGGUGGGUUGACGGUAGCUGGAUAAGAAGCGCCGGCUAACUACGUG